Molecule: ribosomal RNA, 325 nt
Filed under: uncultured bacterium
Lineage: Bacteria
Description: bacterial SSU rRNA
Rfam family: Bacterial small subunit ribosomal RNA
Source: RNAcentral
GGCGGCCGCGGGAUUCGAUUUAGGGAAUAUUGGACAAUGGGUGAGAGCCUGAUCCAGCCAUGCCGCGUGCAGGAAGAAGGCCUUCUGGGUUGUAAACCGCUUUUGCCAGGGGAUAAAAUUCUCAUGCGUGAGAAAUUGAAGGUACCUGGUGAAUAAGCCACGGCUAACUACGUGCCAGCAGCCGCGGUAAUACGUAGGUGGCAAGCGUUGUCCGGAUUUAUUGGGUUUAAAGGGUGCGUAGGCGGUCCUAUAAGUCAGUUGUGAAAUACGGCAGCUUAACUGUUGAGGUACAAUUGAUACUGCAGGACUUGAGUACAGACGAGGU